CACUUAUUUCAGUACGAGACCGAA
RNAcentral lists this non-coding RNA (24 nucleotides) under Drosophila melanogaster (fruit fly). Lineage: Eukaryota; Metazoa; Arthropoda; Insecta; Diptera; Drosophilidae. The record is from RNAcentral.